GCGGGUGUGGUGGUAUUGGCAGUACACAUGGGACUUAAAAUCCCCCAGGUCUUUGAUGAUCUUACGAGUUCGAAUCUCGUCACCCGUA
Molecule: transfer RNA, 88 nt
Filed under: Caudoviricetes sp.
Lineage: Duplodnaviria; Heunggongvirae; Uroviricota; Caudoviricetes
Also listed under: 1 other name
Description: tRNA-Leu
Rfam family: tRNA
About the family: Transfer RNA (tRNA) molecules are approximately 80 nucleotides in length.
Source: RNAcentral